This is a non-coding RNA of Paramuricea clavata, 150 nucleotides long. The record is from the annotation of a GenBank genome assembly. NCBI's taxonomy places the organism in Eukaryota, Metazoa, Cnidaria, Anthozoa, Malacalcyonacea, Plexauridae.
UAUCAGACUUGUUGCGGGGUUGUUCCAACAAGUCCGAUACAGUCAUGAUACAACAACAUUAUUACAACCUUGUGUCAUCAAUCUUGAAACAUUCUUGUUAUAUCAUGACUGUAUCAAACUUGUUAGAACAACCUUGUAACAAGUCUGAUA